Molecule: ribosomal RNA, 566 nt
Filed under: uncultured archaeon
Lineage: Archaea
Description: bacterial SSU rRNA
Rfam family: Archaeal small subunit ribosomal RNA
Source: RNAcentral
AGUAAAACGUAGUCAACAUGCCUCAGGGAACGUGGAUAACUUCGGGAAACUGAGGAUAAACCGCGAUAGCCCAAGGUUUUUGGAUAUGGACAAUGGCUCUAACCUAUAUGGCCUCUGGAUUGGACUGCGGCCGAUCAGGCUGUUGGUGAGGUAAUGGCCCACCAAACCUGUAACCGGUACGGGCUCUGAGAGGAGGAGCCCGGAGAUGGGCACUGAGACAAGGGCCCAGGCCCUAUGGGGCGCAGCAGGCGCGAAACCUCUGCAAUAGGCGAAAGCUUGACAGGGUUACUCUGAGUGAUGUCCGCUAAGGGCAUCUUUUGGCACUUCUAAAAAUAGUGUAGAAUAAGGGGUGGGCAAGUCUGGUGUCAGCCGCCGCGGUAAUACCAGCACCCCGAGUGGUCGGGACGAUUAUUGGGCCUAAAGCAUCCGUAGCCGGUUCUGCAAGUCUUCCGUUAAAUCCACCUGCUCAUACAGAUGGGCUGCGGAGGAUACUACAGGGCUAGGAGGCGGGAGAGGCAAGCGGUACUCAGUGGGUAGGGGUAAAAUCCUCAUGAUCCACGCGAAGA